Molecule: ribosomal RNA, 431 nt
Filed under: uncultured Streptococcus sp.
Lineage: Bacteria; Bacillati; Bacillota; Bacilli; Lactobacillales; Streptococcaceae
Description: bacterial SSU rRNA
Rfam family: Bacterial small subunit ribosomal RNA
Source: RNAcentral
UUCGAAGCAACGCGUAAGACCUUACAGGUCUUGACAUCCGAUGCUAUUUCUGAGAUAGAAAGUUACUUCGGUACAUCGGUGACAGGUGGUGCAUGGUUGUCGUCAGCUCGUGUCGUGAGAUGUUGGGUUAAGUCCCGCAACGAGCGCAACCCCUAUUGUUAGUUGCCAUCAUUCAGUUGGGCACUCUAGCGAGACUGCCGGUAAUAAACCGGAGGAAGGUGGGGAUGACGUCAAACCAUCAUGCCCCUUAUGACCUGGGCUACACACGUGCUACAAUGGUUGGUACAACGAGUUGCGAGUCGGUGACGGCGAGCUAAUCUCUUAAAGCCAAUCUCAGUUCGGAUUGUAGGCUGCAACUCGCCUACAUGAAGGUCGGAAUCGCUAGUAAUCGCGGAUCAGCACCGCCGCCGGUGAAUACGUUCCCGGGCCUU